AGGGAGACCCACAAAGCAAGUCGGCACGUCUAAGUCGCAAGUCGCAAAUGAGAUGACUGGCGAAUGGCGAAAGUGCGACUUGGUUUGUUAUCCCAAGGUCGGUCGAAGAAUAGUGGUGAGGCUUUCAAACUAUAUUGGUUCGGUUAAUUGGGCUAUUAGCUCAGGUGGUUAGAGCGCACCCCUGAUAAGGGUGAGGUCCCUGGUUCGAGUCCAGGAUGGCCCACGUUGAAAAAAAAAGUGUGAUAGAAAAGUAUUGUUGAGAAAAAUUUCAGCAACUGCACGAUAUGAAAAUCGUCAGACUGCUGGAUACGUUUCCAGCCAGAACCUUGAAAACUGCAUAGUAACGCGUAAAGAAGGUAAAAGGUAAAAGGUAAAAGGAAGUUUUUCACUUUCCCCCUUACCCAUUCCCCUUUAACCUUUGGAAAAUAACACCAAUGU
RNAcentral lists this transfer RNA (438 nucleotides) under Sinocapsa zengkensis CHAB6751. Its description in RNAcentral is "partial contains 16S ribosomal RNA and 16S-23S ribosomal RNA intergenic spacer". The stretch from base 150 to 223 matches the Rfam family "tRNA". Lineage: Bacteria; Bacillati; Cyanobacteriota; Cyanophyceae; Chroococcidiopsidales; Sinocapsaceae. The record is from RNAcentral.